This 269-nucleotide ribosomal RNA is filed under the name Enterococcus faecium. Its description in RNAcentral is "partial 16S ribosomal RNA". It matches the Rfam family "Bacterial small subunit ribosomal RNA", at positions 1187 to 1457 of the family's 1533-position model. The record is from RNAcentral. Lineage: Bacteria; Bacillati; Bacillota; Bacilli; Lactobacillales; Enterococcaceae.
ACCCACUCCAUGCCCUUAUGACCUGGGCUACACACGUGCUACAAUGGGAAGUACAACGAGUUGCGAAGUCGCGAGGCUAAGCUAAUCUCUUAAAGCUUCUCUCAGUUCGGAUUGCAGGCUGCAACUCGCCUCAUGAAGCCGGAAUCGCUAGUAAUCGCGGAUCAGCACGCCGCGGUGAAUACGUUCCCGGGCCUUGACACACCGCCCGUCACACCACGAGAGUUUGUAACACCCGAAGUCGGUGAGGUAACCUUUUGGAACCCGCCCCC